UUAAGCACAGCGGGCCCGCGGUGCCUGAACAUCAAAAUGCAUUGUGCCGCGGCGAUUGAUUUUCAGAUAAUGACGUCGCGAUGCUUGAAAAGUUUACAAGCCAUUGCAAGCUCUGAGCCGAAUGUUGUCUGCAUUUUGGCAUCGACCAAUCCUUAUAAGUUUAAUGUUCAUAUUAAUAGAUUUGAUAAGACGCGAGCACGAUUUAUGGGUCGUUUAUAGGGGUCAAGUAUGGUGUGUAUCCCCUAAUAAUGGUAUAUAAUGAUCGAUUAUUAACGGUACACGUGACGGCAGAGCAAUUAAAGUGAUCCUAAGACCUCCAACCCACGAACCAAAAGUCUCAAACAGCGAGUCAGUGGCAGCAAUGUUGUCCAUGGGUAACAGAGGUUGAAGGAGACUGCGAGUAGGCUUAAGCACAAUGAAAGGGGGUAAAAACAGAAAAUUCUGCUCGCCUGAAGUCUGCUGUCCGCAAUGCUGUGGUGAUGGUCAGGACUAAGGAAGACUGGUGGAUGCCUGGCACCAGGAGAAGCCUCGGAGAACAGGUGUUCAGAGUGAAAAUUGCAUAUAUGUACACGUGUGGUAAAAAAUGUAACUUUAUUAU
Long non-coding RNA from Dreissena polymorpha, 598 nucleotides. RefSeq lists it as uncharacterized. NCBI's taxonomy places the organism in Eukaryota, Metazoa, Mollusca, Bivalvia, Myida, Dreissenidae. The record is from RefSeq and is a predicted model, not a curated record. The transcript has 3 exons.